UUCCUUAUUGCGUUACCAAAUAUCAACAGGGGUAGGCCUACCGAGCUAGCAGGUGGGGCCGGCCGGGCCCACUUGCUGGUGGGUCGCAGAUUGCUUCUUCAUACCUUCCUAAAACUCGAUUUUAUUUCCUAUUUUCCACAAGUUUUGUUAUGAAACGGCUCAGAGAUGCAGGAAGAUCAAAUAAGUGGAAAGGAAUAAGUUGAACUACAUCUAACUCAGCC
RNAcentral lists this long non-coding RNA (221 nucleotides) under Sorghum bicolor (sorghum). Its description in RNAcentral is "long non-coding RNA (SBIC_LNC014747)". Lineage: Eukaryota; Viridiplantae; Streptophyta; Magnoliopsida; Poales; Poaceae. The record is from RNAcentral.